Molecule: ribosomal RNA, 540 nt
Filed under: uncultured bacterium
Lineage: Bacteria
Description: partial 16S ribosomal RNA
Rfam family: Bacterial small subunit ribosomal RNA
Source: RNAcentral
UGGGGAAUUUUGGACAAUGGGGGAAACCCUGAUCCAGCCAUCCCGCGUGUGCGAUGAAGGCCUUCGGGUUGUAAAGCACUUUUGGCAGGAAAGAAACGUCGCGGGUUAAUACCCCGCGAAACUGACGGUACCUGCAGAAUAAGCACCGGCUAACUACGUGCCAGCAGCCGCGGUAAUACGUAGGGUGCAAGCGUUAAUCGGAAUUACUGGGCGUAAAGCGUGCGCAGGCGGUUCGGAAAGAAAGAUGUGAAAUCCCAGAGCUUAACUUUGGAACUGCAUUUUUAACUACCGGGCUAGAGUGUGUCAGAGGGAGGUGGAAUUCCGCGUGUAGCAGUGAAAUGCGUAGAUAUGCGGAGGAACACCGAUGGCGAAGGCAGCCUCCUGGGAUAACACUGACGCUCAUGCACGAAAGCGUGGGGAGCAAACAGGAUUAGAUACCCUGGUAGUCCACGCCCUAAACGAUGUCAACUAGCUGUUGGGGCCUUCGGGCCUUGGUAGCGCAGCUAACGCGUGAAGUUGACCGCCUGGGGAGUACGGUCG